UCGGAAUUAUUGGGCGUAAAGCGCACGUAGGCGGCCUUGUAAGUCGGAUGUGAAAUCCCUCGGCUUAACCGAGGACGUGCAUCCGAAACUGUGAGGCUCGAGUAUGGAAGAGGGUCGCAGAAUUCCCGGUGUAGAGGUGAAAUUCGUAGAUAUCGGGAGGAAUACCAGUGGCGAAGGCGGCGACCUGGGCCAAUACUGACGCUGAGGUGCGAAAGCGUGGGGAGCAAACAGG
This 232-nucleotide ribosomal RNA is filed under the name uncultured bacterium. RNAcentral's name for it is "partial 16S ribosomal RNA". It matches the Rfam family "Bacterial small subunit ribosomal RNA", at positions 545 to 776 of the family's 1533-position model. The record is from RNAcentral.